This is a long non-coding RNA of Columba livia (rock pigeon), 370 nucleotides long. RefSeq lists it as uncharacterized. The transcript has 2 exons. NCBI's taxonomy places the organism in Eukaryota, Metazoa, Chordata, Aves, Columbiformes, Columbidae. The record is from RefSeq and is a predicted model, not a curated record.
GGAAGGGCGGACGGGGACGGUCCGCAGGUGGGUCCCACCCCGGCGCCCGGCCUGGGCCAUGGCGAGCGGUGCCCGCCGCGGAGGAGCCCCCCGCGGGGCCCCGUCGGGCCGCUUCAGGUGCUCGGCGGCGGCGAGCGGCGGAGCGAGGGCGCUAGCACCUCUGCCGUGGCCCACGGAGUCAUCCUGCGGAGAAGGUUUUCAGCGGAUCUGCGACCGCCGGAGCUAUACCUGUGUGCAGCAGCAGGGGUUGUGUCUGCAGGAGGGUUUUCUGCUCUCGGGGUGUUUUUCCCGCAUCACUUGGUGUUACUCCAAACUUCGCUGCUGCUCCUCUACAGCUGCCGAGCAGAAAAUAGAAGUUCCCUGAAGUGCA